RNAcentral lists this ribosomal RNA (514 nucleotides) under uncultured bacterium. RNAcentral describes it as "bacterial SSU rRNA". It matches the Rfam family "Bacterial small subunit ribosomal RNA", at positions 15 to 518 of the family's 1533-position model. The record is from RNAcentral.
GAUUAUGGCUCAGGAUGAACGCUAGCUACAGGCUUAACACAUGCAAGUCGAGGGGCAGCAUGAGCUUAGCUUGCUAAGCUUGAUGGCGACCGGCGCACGGGUGAGUAACGCGUAUCCAACUUCCCCUUAGUAGGGCAUAGCCCGGUGAAAAUCGGAUUAAUACCCUAUGUUCUUCACAGCGGGCAUCUAACGUGAAGCAAAGGUUCACCGCUAAGGGAUGGGGAUGCGUCUGAUUAGGUAGUCGGCGGGGUAACGGCCCACCGAGCCAUCGAUCAGUAGGGGUUCUGAGAGGAAGGUCCCCCACAUUGGAACUGAGACACGGUCCAAACUCCUACGGGAGGCAGCAGUGAGGAAUAUUGGUCAAUGGGCGCGAGCCUGAACCAGCCAAGUAGCGUGCAGGAAUGACGGCCCUAUGGGUUGUAAACUGCUUUUAUGCGGGGAUAAAGUCACCCACGUGUGGGUGUUUGCAGGUACCGCAUGAAUAAGGACCGGCUAAUUCCGUGCCAGCAGCUGC